This is a long non-coding RNA of Saccostrea cuccullata (small rock oyster), 2057 nucleotides long. RefSeq lists it as uncharacterized. The record is from RefSeq and is a predicted model, not a curated record. NCBI's taxonomy places the organism in Eukaryota, Metazoa, Mollusca, Bivalvia, Ostreida, Ostreidae. The transcript has 6 exons.
AAACAUGAAUUAGGCAGGUAUUUCCAUUUCCUUUUCUUCCAUUAUUAUUCCCUGUUUAUAUUAACAAGUUAAAGUAAUUUAUUACGUAUUGAAAAAAAACAUAUAUACUAAUCCCCUCUUGCUUUUGUUUGUUUGUUGUUUUACUUCCAUGCAUGUAGAAUUAUUUCUCCUUGGGGACGUCCCCAGAUACCGUGAAGCGCUUCAAAUUAAAACGUUUUCUCAGUAUUCGGUCUUCAACUAUUUCGUGUUUUUUGGUGUACCAAGACUGCCCUGUAUGGUUGAUGUACCUCAGUUUUUAAGAUCUUUUGGAAAGACAUGCAACAUUGCCUUAUGUUAUGCUGAGAAUGGGGCAGAGAAGUGGUAGGUUGCUAUAUGUAUGUAAUUGAUGUGUAUUUGCCAUGGCCAACCCACAGCUUUCCAUCAAUGGGGCAAGUUUCUACCCAAUUACCUCCUCUGCUCUCACGCAAACCAAGUCCUUUCUCUCAGGUUCUUUUGUUUUUUCGACUGCUUACUAAUCAUAUGUUAGUUUCUUUGGCACAGCAAGAAAACAAUUGAAUUGAAGAAGGAAGACCAUUGUUAUGAAGAAAGAAGACAACUGUUAUAAAGAAGAAUACAACUAGAAUGAAGAAAGAACACAUCCUGAAUGAAGAAAGAAGAUAGCUGGAAGGAAAAAGAAGACAGAAAAAAAACUGGAUUGAGAGAGAAGACAAGUGGAAGAUGUUAGAAGAAAAAAAAGAAGAUAACCAGAAGAAAAAAGGAAACAGAAAGAAAGAAGAUGACAGCUGAGAGAAAGAAGAAGACAACAGAGAGAAAGAAGAAGACAACAGAGAAAGAAGAAAAUGAUUGGAAGAAAGAAGCAACUCGCAGGCAAUGGGAGCAUUAUAGUCUUACCAAAUGUUGUAAAGGGGAUUAAAAAUUCAGAUACAUCAUUAAAAGAAUGGAACUUAGGUGACUUAACAUCAAGAACAAAUGGAUCCAUAAGCUAACAGAGCCUACAGAAGUUGGGUUUUUAAAGAACUGUUUGGGGCCAGGUUUUUAAUUUCCAUUUUCUAAGACUAGCUAACAUGAUUGCAAAACAGUAAGAUCUUAUGUUUUAUUUCCUUUCUAUACAAAUUAAAAUUUUCUGCAUUUGAUUUAUAGUAAUUAACAUUAAUUUUCUCCUGCUCACCAGUUUUUUAGUUUCUAUUUGAUAGCAAAAGCAUAAUGAGUGAUUCUGUGGACAAUCCUCUCUUGGGAUGUCAACAGAGUGUACGAGAAGUUGACAGUCAGCUAAUGUAUAGAUCCACAGCCAGAGACAGCAAUGUUAAUUUGUGUCUUAAAACAAUAGGAAGAAGAUGCUUGAAGCCCGGAGACUAUCCAAUUACUCCAUCUGAAGACGGUUUACUCUGUCUGAAGAGGAUGACAAGUUUGCUGCACCCAGUGGAACAUUGAUGGACCUACCAACGGAUAUUCAGACAUAUUUUGCUCUGAGCAGAUGGUACCUUGAUGGACCCAGAUGGAACCUUGAUGGGCCUAGAUGGAACCUUGAUGGACCCAGACGGAAACUUGAUGAACCCAGAUGGAACCUUGAUGAACCCAAAUGAAGCCUUAAUGGACCCAGAUGGAGCCUUGAUGGACCCAGACAGAGCCUUGAUGGACCCAGACGGAGCCUUGAUGGACCCAGAAGGAGCCUUGAUGUACCCAGACGGAGCCUUGAUGGACCCAGAUGGAUCCUUUAUGGAUCCGGACGGAACCUUGAUGGACCCAGAUGGAACCUUGAUGGACCUACCAACACAUAUUCAAGAGAGUGUUUGCUCAGACCAGAGCCCCCAGAGGCCAGAUGCAACCAUGGCAAAUUAAAUUGAUUUGGUGGACAACCAAUGAGCAACAAUGAAUAAGAUGAUCUUAAAAAGUAAAGAAUGACAGUUAGCCUAAUCAGGAACAGUGAGCCUCCCCCUUUUCCUCUCCCAUUCAUGGAAGUAGGAUGGCAAUCGAUGCAAAGAACCAGGAAAAAUCCAAUCUUAUUGUGCAUGCAGAAUAUGGAGGAAGAAGAUGCUUGAUGCCUGAUGACCAAUGUA